This 795-nucleotide ribosomal RNA is filed under the name Rhizophagus sp. (in: glomeromycetes). RNAcentral's name for it is "SSU rRNA". It matches the Rfam family "Eukaryotic small subunit ribosomal RNA", at positions 318 to 1114 of the family's 1831-position model. The record is from RNAcentral. Lineage: Eukaryota; Fungi; Glomeromycota; Glomeromycetes; Glomerales; Glomeraceae.
ACUUUCGAUGGUAGGAUAGAGGCCUACCAUGGUGGUAACGGGUAACGGGGUGUUAGGGCACGACACCGGAGAGGGAGCCUGAGAAACGGCUACCACAUCCAAGGAUGGCAGCAGGCGCGCAAAUUACCCAAUCCCGACACGGGGAGGUAGUGACAAUAAAUAACAAUACGGGGUUCUUUAGGAUCUCGUAAUUGGAAUGAGUACAAUUUAAAUCUCUUAACGAGGAACAAUUGGAGGGCAAGUCUGGUGCCAGCAGCCGCGGUAAUUCCAGCUCCAAUAGCGUAUAUUAAAGUUGUUGCAGUUAAAAAGCUCGUAGUUGAAUUUCGGGGUUAGUAGGUUGGUCAUGCCUCUGGUAUGUACUGGUCUCACUGAUUCCUCCUUCCUGAUGAGCCGUAAUGCCAUUAAUUUGGUGUUGCGGGGAAUUUGGACUGUUACUUUGAAAAAAUUAGAGUGUUUAAAGCAAGCUAACGCUUGAAUACAUUAGCAUGGAAUAAUGAAAUAGGACGUUCGAUCCUAUUUUGUUGGUUUCUAGGAUUGACGUAAUGAUUAAUAGGGAUAGUUGGGGGCAUUAGUAUUCAAUUGUCAGAGGUGAAAUUCUUGGAUUUAUUGAAGACUAACUACUGCGAAAGCAUUUGCCAAGGAUGUUUUCAUUAAUCAAGAACGAAAGUUAGGGGAUCGAAGACGAUCAGAUACCGUCGUAGUCUUAACCAUAAACUAUGCCGACUAGGGAUCGGAUGAUGUUAAUUUUUUAAUGACUCAUUCGGCGCCUUACGGGAAACCAAAGUGUUUGGGUUC